This is a long non-coding RNA of Manacus vitellinus (golden-collared manakin), 273 nucleotides long. RefSeq lists it as uncharacterized. The transcript is spliced from 3 exons. The record is from RefSeq and is a predicted model, not a curated record. NCBI's taxonomy places the organism in Eukaryota, Metazoa, Chordata, Aves, Passeriformes, Pipridae.
GGGAAUAGGAUUCUGAAGAUUUCCAUAUAGUACGAGUUUGAAGACUGAUGGGCAUAUUACUGGAUCUGUAACACAUCAAUACCAUGCUACCCUUGGGAAGGUCUACCACAAGGCAUUUGAUCUAGCCACAAAACCACCUGAAAGGUUUCCACUUGUGCAGCAUGCCUUUGGAGGAAGAGAAUGAGAAAACUGGAAGCAGAAUGUGGCUCAUUCAAAAUAAUCACUCAAGACCUAGGUCAGGAUUAGGAGUCUUUAAGGAAAAAACCCAAUGGC